AUUGAACGCUGGCGGCAUGCUUUACACAUGCAAGUCGAACGGUAACAGGCCGCAAGGUGCUGACGAGUGGCGCACGGGUGAGUAAUGCAUCGGAACGUGCCCAGUCGUGGGGGAUAACUACUCGAAAGAGUAGCUAAUACCGCAUACGAUCUAUGGAUGAAAGCGGGGGACCGUAAGGCCUCGCGCGAUUGGAGCGGCCGAUGUCAGAUUAGUUAGUUGGUGGGGUAAAGGCUCACCAAGCCAACGAUCUGUAGCUGGUCUGAGAGGACAACCAGCCACACUGGGACUGAGACACGGCCCAGAAUCCUACGGGAGGCAGCAGUGGGGAAUUUUGGACAAUGGGCGCAAGCCUGAUCCAGCAAUGCCGCGUGCAGGAAGAAGGCCUUCGGGUUGUAAACUGCUUUUGUACGGAACGAAACGGCUCUGGUUAAUACCCGGGGCUAAUGACGGUACCGUAAGAAUAAGCACCGGCUAACUACGUG
Molecule: ribosomal RNA, 482 nt
Filed under: uncultured bacterium
Lineage: Bacteria
Description: partial 16S ribosomal RNA
Rfam family: Bacterial small subunit ribosomal RNA
Source: RNAcentral